RNAcentral lists this transfer RNA (71 nucleotides) under Stegodyphus mimosarum. It matches the Rfam family "tRNA". Rfam says of the family: Transfer RNA (tRNA) molecules are approximately 80 nucleotides in length. Their secondary structure includes four short double-helical elements and three loops (D, anti-codon, and T loops). The record is from Rfam by way of RNAcentral. Lineage: Eukaryota; Metazoa; Arthropoda; Arachnida; Araneae; Eresidae.
GCCUUCGUGGUGUAACGGUAGCACACUGGGCGCGUAUUCGAGAGCUCCAGGUUCGAAUCCCGUCGAGGGCA